CCUACGGGAGGCAGCAGUGGGGAAUUUUCCGCAAUGGGCGAAAGCCUGACGGAGCAACGCCGCGUGAGGGAUGAAGGCCUCUGGGCUGUAAACCUCUUUUAUCAAGGAAGAAGAUCUGACGGUACUUGAUGAAUAAGCCACGGCUAAUUCCGUGCCAGCAGCCGCGGUAAUACGGGAGUGGCAAGCGUUAUCCGGAAUUAUUGGGCGUAAAGCGUCCGCAGGCGGCCCUUCAAGUCUGCUGUUAAAAAGUGGAGCUUAACUCCAUCAUGGCAGUGGAAACUGUUGGGCUUGAGUGUGGUAGGGGCAGAGGGAAUUCCCGGUGUAGCGGUGAAAUGCGUAGAUAUCGGGAAGAACACCAGUGGCGAAGGCGCUCUGCUGGGCCAUAACUGACGCUCAUGGACGAAAGCCAGGGGAGCGAAAGGGAUUAGAUACCCCUGUAGUCCUGGCCGUAAACGAUGAACACUAGGUGUCGGGGGAAUCGACCCCCUCGGUGUCGUAGCCAACGCGUUAAGUGUUCCGCCUGGGGAGUACGCACGCAAGUGUGAAACUCAAAGGAAUUGACGG
RNAcentral lists this ribosomal RNA (564 nucleotides) under uncultured bacterium. RNAcentral describes it as "bacterial SSU rRNA". It matches the Rfam family "Bacterial small subunit ribosomal RNA", at positions 338 to 916 of the family's 1533-position model. The record is from RNAcentral.